CUGAGCGCAGCCAGCUGGGCGCCUGAAUCCGUUGGGACGCCUACAACGCGCUCAGGCGCACGAGACCACAGCGGGUUUGACUACAAUGGCUGGGGAACGGCAAGCAUCAGCCCAGUCGCUUCACUUGCCAGUGUAUCCUCCUUCACACGUGAAGGCAAUAUGGCAGCAACAGCCUAUGAGCGCUAUCAAAAGGAUCCUGAUGGAGGAUGGAUCUGGGGCAAUAGCAUCAGUAUGAGCAAUGAAACCAAUGAUGCUCUCAGGGAUGUCGUGUGCGCCCGCAAGAGUACGGCAUUCGCCUACAGCAUGGAGGACCUGC
Molecule: long non-coding RNA, 316 nt
Filed under: Volvox carteri
Lineage: Eukaryota; Viridiplantae; Chlorophyta; Chlorophyceae; Chlamydomonadales; Volvocaceae
Description: long non-coding RNA (VCAR_LNC003377)
Source: RNAcentral